GUAACGGCGAGUGAACAGGGAAGAGCCCAGCACCGAAUCCCUCAGGCUUGCCCUGCUGGGACAUGUGGUGUUUAGGACGGACUCUGGGUGGUGCGACUCGUCUGAAGUUCACUUGAAUGUGACUUCAGGUCCAAAGAGGGUGUAAGACCCGUACGGAUGAGAAGCGCCGCUCCUGGUCUGUCCUUGGAGUCGGGUUGUUUGAGAUUGCAGCCCAAAGCAGGUGGUAAACUCCAUCUAAGGCUAAAUACUGAACGCUAGUCCGAUAGUCGACAAGUACCGUGAGGGAAAGUUGAAAAGAACUUUGAAGAGAGAGUUCAAUAGUGCGUGAAACCGUCCAGAGGUAAACGGAUGGAGCCGAAAAAGAUUGCGGGGAUUCAGCCGGACCGCCGGGUGGUGCCUGCCUGGCUGGGAGACCCUUUUUGGGUCCCCGGCCGGGUGGCGUCCGCCUGGUGGUCUGGUGCACUUUCCCGUAGUCUGCGCUUGGACCGCUGAGCUGGCAGCCUGUCGUUGGGAGGUGGUAGCGACCGCUUCGGCGGUUGUGAUAUACUCUCGACACGGGACUGGCGGAGCAGUGUAAAAUGCGACGCGAGUGCUUAAGACACAGGUAAGCUGCCCUGGGUCGGCGGCGCGUUGGGUCGACUACCUGGUAGUUGGCUCGGCGCGUCGCUGGCUUCGGGGCUGGCUAGGCCAUCCGCGUCGAUAGUCUCAGGCGUUAAAGUAGGUAGUCCAUCUGACCCGUCUUGAAACACGGACCAAGGAGUCUUGCACAUGCGCGAGUCAUUGGGCGUUACGAAACCCAAAGGCGUAGUGAAAGCAAAGGUGACUUUGUGCCACUUAGGUAUGAUCCCGAUUCCUUAACUGGACCGGGCGCAAUACCGGCCCGUCCUAUACUGUCUUACAGUGGGGCGGCGCAAGAGCGCAUGUGCAGAAACCCGAAAGAUGGCGAACUAUGCUUGGGCAGGUUGAAGCCAGAGGAAACUCUGGUGGAGGACCGUAGCGAUUCUGACGUGCAAAUCGAUCGUCAGACCCGAGUAUAGGGGCGAAAGACUAAUCGAGCCAUCUAGUAACUGGUUCCCUCCGAAGUUUCCCUCAGGAUAGCUGGUGCACAUCCUCAGUUGUUUCAUCCGGUAAAGCUAAUGAUUGGAGGUAUUCGGGACGAAAUGUCCUCAACCUACUCUCAAACUUUAAAUGGGUGAGAUCUGCGAGUCUCUUAAUUGGACUCGCGGAGGCACUGAAAACGUGUACCUAGUGGGCCAUUUUUGGUAAGCAGAACUGGCGCUGUGGGAUGAACCAAACCACCGGCUAAGGUGCCAAACAGUACGUUCAUGAGAUACCACAAAAGGUGUUGGUUGAUAUAGACAGCAGGACGGUGGCCAUGGAAGUUGGAAUCCGCUAAGGAGUGUGUAACAACUCACCUGCCGAAUCAACCAGCCCUGAAAAUGGAUGGCGCUUGAGCGUGCGACCUAUGCCGGUGCCUGACGGCAAGACUAGUUGUGGCAUAAGCCGUCAGGAGUAGGAGGGUCACCGUGGUGAGCGUUGAAGCUGUCGCCGUGAGGCGAGGUGGAGCCGCCACGGGAGCAGAUCUU
RNAcentral lists this ribosomal RNA (1586 nucleotides) under Duplominona sp. n. 3 FS-2014. Its description in RNAcentral is "eukaryotic LSU rRNA". It matches the Rfam family "Eukaryotic large subunit ribosomal RNA", at positions 83 to 1452 of the family's 3401-position model. Lineage: Eukaryota; Metazoa; Platyhelminthes; Proseriata; Monocelididae. The record is from RNAcentral.